UACGAAGGGGGCUAGCGUUGCUCGGAAUUACUGGGCGUAAAGGGCGCGUAGGCGGUUCUGUUAGUCAGGCGUGAAAUUCCUGGGCUCAACCUGGGGGCUGCGCUUGAUACGGCGGAACUAGAGGAUGGAAGAGGCUCGUGGAAUUCCCAGUGUAGAGGUGAAAUUCGUAGAUAUUGGGAAGAACACCGGUGGCGAAGGCGGCGAGCUGGUCCAUUACUGACGCUGAGGCGCGAAAGCGUGGGGAGCAAACAGG
This 253-nucleotide ribosomal RNA is filed under the name uncultured bacterium. RNAcentral describes it as "partial 16S ribosomal RNA". It matches the Rfam family "Bacterial small subunit ribosomal RNA", at positions 524 to 776 of the family's 1533-position model. The record is from RNAcentral.